AUGUCUAAGCUCCGCGUGUGUGUUUUUCAAGACGGCACCUACCUUCCUGUGGACUUCCACAGUCACUUCUAUGAAGACGUAAGAGAGGCCGGCCCGUACCAGGACAUCCUGCCUUCCUCUCUUCCUGUGCCCCCGUCCCCGUUUGACCACAGGCUACCUCAUCAAAGGAACAACUGGAGGCCACCAACCUUCCCUCAGGGAACCGCGAGAGCGAGCGGGUUCGUGGAUGCUCAGCAACGGCGGAGAGAUGCUGAUCUUCCCUUUGAACUACGAGGCGAGUUAGUCUAGAACAACAAAUCCGCUGUGACAGGGCGUGUGAGUCAACGGUAGUCACCGAGUACAGACGCUCAAUCUGAUCGUAUUUAUUUGAUUCUUUUUGAGCGUUAUCUUAUGAGUCACCUUGAAGAAACCUGUCAGACGAAAUGAAUGGACAGAAAACGCUACACAAACAGUGUUUGAGUGGAAUCGGAUUGUAUGUACCAACAUGUGAACAAACACACUGUUUAUUCUGAUAUUUUCAUGCCGCCCACGUAUUUAUUUUUUUCUCCACUCCCUGGACUUUGUUUUGCUCCUCUACCUGUACACCCUCUGCUGGAUCCGUGGUCAUUGCCCACAGUCGUCCCCCUGCUUUGCCCUCCCAGUGGACAGGAAUCACUCAGGUAGAAACAAAGAGGGACUGACGCGUCUGUGGCGGGCGCAGGGGAGGAAGCAGCUCGGGCUCACGCUUCAGCCCAGGCAGACAUCAUCCUGUUUCACCCCGGCCACGUGGGAAGCGGAGGACGGCGGCCCUCUCCCACUACGGGCUGAUAACAACAGCCUCAGACCUCACGGUUAGUCCCUGGGAAUCCCCACAAUAGGAUAGCACUGAGCGGAAUUCAGCACGGCUGUGUCUCCAGGAGGUAAAGCCACAUCCAGGGCCAGGCGCUAAUCCAGUUUGCUUCUGGAUUGAAGUUCAGCUCCCGGAAUCGGCGCGCGAGAGGGAAACCGUGCGGAGAAUUUGUCUCAGCGAGGACGGACAGUCAAAGGGAUGGAGACGGAAGAAGAGGGUUAGGCUAAGCUGCAGCUUGGGCUGCUGCUACAAAAGAACCCACUUUCUUCUUCCUCUGGGUUUCAUCAUUCUUCAGUGGAAGCUUUUGCUCCAAAGUAAUACCAAUAAAUACUUUUCAUAUAGUGUUUUUCA
This 1180-nucleotide long non-coding RNA is filed under the name Betta splendens (Siamese fighting fish). Its description in RNAcentral is "lncRNA (ENSBSLG00000013711.1)". The record is from RNAcentral. Lineage: Eukaryota; Metazoa; Chordata; Actinopteri; Anabantiformes; Osphronemidae.